AGGGGUAUAGUUCAAUGGUAGAGCAACGGUCUCCAAAACCGUAAAUACGGGUUCGAAUCCUGUUACCCCUGC
RNAcentral lists this transfer RNA (72 nucleotides) under uncultured Lachnospira sp. Its description in RNAcentral is "tRNA-Trp(cca)". It matches the Rfam family "tRNA". From Rfam's summary of the family: Transfer RNA (tRNA) molecules are approximately 80 nucleotides in length. Their secondary structure includes four short double-helical elements and three loops (D, anti-codon, and T loops). The record is from RNAcentral. Lineage: Bacteria; Bacillati; Bacillota; Clostridia; Lachnospirales; Lachnospiraceae.